AUGGGUGAGAGAGUGAAGGGAACCGUGAAGUGGUUCAACGUCACCAAGGGGUUCGGAUUCAUCUCCCCGGAGGACGGCAGCGAGGACCUCUUCGUCCACCAGUCCGCCAUCAAGGCCGACGGCUACCGCAGCCUCAACGAGAACGACGUCGUCGAGUUUGAGGUCAUCACCGGCGACGACGGCCGAACCAAGGCCGCCGACGUCACCGCACCAGGAGGGGGUGCGCUCGCCGGCGGCUCCCGCCCUGGCGACGGCGGUGGUGACCGCGGGGGUCGCGGCGGGGGUGGCUACGGUGGAGGCGGCUACGGCGGCGGCGGCGGCGGCGGCUACGGUGGUGGUGGCGGCGGCUACGGCAGCGGUGGCGGCAGCUACGGCGGCGGUGGCGGCUAUGGAGGUGGUGGCGGCGGCGGCCGCUACGGAGGAGGCGGCGGCGGCGGCCGUGAGUGCUACAAGUGCGGCGAGGAGGGCCACAUCUCCAGGGACUGCCCCCAGGGCGGCGGCGGCGGUGGCGGUGGCUACGGAGGUGGUGGCGGCCGUGGCGGUGGUGGUGGCGGUGGCGGCUGCUUCUCCUGCGGCGAGUCCGGCCACUUCUCGCGCGAGUGCCCCAACAAGACCAACUAG
Molecule: ribosomal RNA, 621 nt
Filed under: Triticum aestivum (bread wheat)
Lineage: Eukaryota; Viridiplantae; Streptophyta; Magnoliopsida; Poales; Poaceae
Description: partial small subunit ribosomal RNA
Source: RNAcentral